CGGCCCUUAGCUCAGUUGGUAGAGCACCGGAUUUUGAUUCCGGGCGUCGCUGGUUCGAGCCCAGCAGGGUCUGCCA
Molecule: transfer RNA, 76 nt
Filed under: Hydrogenophaga aromaticivorans
Lineage: Bacteria; Pseudomonadati; Pseudomonadota; Betaproteobacteria; Burkholderiales; Comamonadaceae
Description: tRNA-Gln
Rfam family: tRNA
About the family: Transfer RNA (tRNA) molecules are approximately 80 nucleotides in length. Their secondary structure includes four short double-helical elements and three loops (D, anti-codon, and T loops).
Source: RNAcentral